AGAGUUUGAUCCUGGCUCAGGAUGAACGCUAGCGAUAGGCCUAACACAUGCAAGUCGAGGGGCAGCAUAGAGUAGCAAUACUUUGAUGGCGACCGGCGCACGGGUGAGUAACACGUAUGCAACCUACCUACAUCAGGGGAAUAACCCGGAGAAAUUCGGACUAAUACCGCAUAAUACAGGGAUGCCGCAUGGCAAUAUUUGUUAAAGAUUUAUCGGAUGUAGAUGGGCAUGCGUUCCAUUAGCUAGUUGGUAAGGUAACGGCUUACCAAGGCAACGAUGGAUAGGGGAACUGAGAGGUUUGUCCCCCACACUGGAACUGAGACACGGACCAGACUCCUACGGGAGGCAGCAGUGAGGAAUAUUGGUCAAUGGACGAGAGUCUGAACCAGCCAAAUCGCGUGAAGGAAGACUGCCCUACGGGUUGUAAACUUCUUUUGUACAGGAAUAAAAGACAUUACGUGUAAUGUAUUGCAUGUACUGUACGAAUAAGCAUCGGCUAACUCCGUGCCAGCAGCCGCGGUAAUACGGAGGAUGCGAGCGUUAUCCGGAUUUAUUGGGUUUAAAGGGUGCGCAGGCGGGAUUUUAAGUCAGCGGUGAAAUUUUCAGGCUCAACCUGAACACUGCCGUUGAAACUGGGAUUCUUGAGUAUGGAUGAAGUAGGCGGAAUUCGUUGUGUAGCGGUGACAUGCUUAGAUAUAACGAGGAACUCCGAUUGCGUAGGCAGCUUACUAAGCCAUAACUGACGCUCAAGCACGAAAGCGUGGGGAUCAAACAGGAUUAGAUACCCUGGUAGUCCACGCCGUAAACGAUGAUUACUAGUUGUUUGCGAUAUACCGUAAGUGACUAAGCGAAAGCGAUAAGUAAUCCACCUGGGGAGUACGCCGGCAACGGUGAAACUCAAACGAAUUGACGG
Molecule: ribosomal RNA, 913 nt
Filed under: uncultured Bacteroidota bacterium
Lineage: Bacteria; Pseudomonadati; Bacteroidota
Description: bacterial SSU rRNA
Rfam family: Bacterial small subunit ribosomal RNA
Source: RNAcentral